GGAGAAGUGUCCGAGCUGGUCUAAGGGGCACGACUGGAACUCGUGUAAGCGUUGAUAGCGCCCGAGGGUUCGAAUCCCUCCUUCUCCGCCA
RNAcentral lists this transfer RNA (91 nucleotides) under Oscillospiraceae bacterium. Its description in RNAcentral is "tRNA-Ser". It matches the Rfam family "tRNA". Rfam says of the family: Transfer RNA (tRNA) molecules are approximately 80 nucleotides in length. Their secondary structure includes four short double-helical elements and three loops (D, anti-codon, and T loops). The record is from RNAcentral. Lineage: Bacteria; Bacillati; Bacillota; Clostridia; Eubacteriales; Oscillospiraceae.